This 106-nucleotide small nuclear RNA is filed under the name Aotus nancymaae (Ma's night monkey). The record is from RNAcentral. Lineage: Eukaryota; Metazoa; Chordata; Mammalia; Primates; Aotidae.
GUGCUGACUUAAGCAGCACAUAUACUAAAAUUUGAACAAUAUAGAGAAGAUUAGCAUGGCCCCUGUGCAAGGACAAUGCAAAAUUCAUGAAGCAUUCCAUAUUUUG